CCCAGGAUGCGAGAUCCUGCCGAGUCCUGUUUCUUCCGUCUUUCAUCUGUGUUUGAUUCCAGCGUGCGUGCAGUGUGUGAGCAGUCUUUAGCAACCUUUCUUCUUUCCUUCUGAGCGUGGAUCCCGUCGAGUACGACGGAUGCGUAGGGGUGCUAAUACCUUCCCUUCGCAUAACCGACUCCCGAUCCCAUCCAUCUCUGGUC
RNAcentral lists this long non-coding RNA (203 nucleotides) under Lathyrus oleraceus (garden pea). RNAcentral's name for it is "Pisum sativum (pea) long non-coding RNA (PSAT_LNC025561)". The record is from RNAcentral. Lineage: Eukaryota; Viridiplantae; Streptophyta; Magnoliopsida; Fabales; Fabaceae.